GAGGUUCGUUUCAAAAGAAUGUUAAUAAUAUAAUAAUAUUAAUAAAAAUAAAAUAAAUUAAUAUAUUAAAAUAAUAAUAAUAAUAAAAUCGAGGAUUUUGAAUUAAAGUGCAAUAAAAAAUAUCUUAUUUAUUUUAGUAUUCGAUAUUACAUUACACAUAUCACAACGAGUAAGUUAAAAUAAUUUUUUUUACGAUGUUGUCAAAAAAAAUUGAAAAGCUUGUUUUUAUAUAGGGAUAAUUGCCUAUAUAUCCCUCAAAACUUCAGAAAUAUCUAAUUUAUCCUUAUAUUUUUUUUUCGUUUCUAAUAUACUCUUCGUAUGUUCAUCCAUUAUUCAAAAAUAUCCCUACAGUUACUACCUGUUAAGUGAUCUCGGGUUAAACGUGAAUUACAUGUCUAUCCGAGUUAAAAAAGAAAAUCAAAAUACCUCUUUUGCCCUUAACUUAAGAUCAAAUAAGAAAAAAUUAUGAUAAUAGAAGGGUACAUUUGAAAAGACUAAAAAUUAAAAUACUUCUUUUGCUUCUAACUGAAGGGCAAAUAAGAAAAAACUGUGACGGUAGAAGAGUAUACUAGAAAAGGCAACUUAGUAAUUUUACAGAGAUAACGACUAUUGCUAACAGUUCACUAACAAAAUUUAACUUUAGAGGGGUAUAUUUGAAAUAACUUAAAACAUAAAAAGAGUAUUUUUAAUAUUAGCCGUCUAAGAGAGAUAAAUCAGAAAGUCGAGAACUUUUUAGAAAUAUAUAAGUAAUUGCCCUUUUUAUAGACUUUCCUAAACUUUAUUUCAAAACAAUCCUAUAAAAUUUUUUAAUUAGGUAAAUAAUCCUAUGAAAAUUUUUUUGGCAGACUAACCUUUCUCUUGUUAUAUAAGAGUCGCGUUGGAAUUUUCUGAAGGACGAUAAAUGAUUCAUCGCCUUCAUAGAGACGGUAAACGAUUCACUGCCCUUCUUAAUUUUUCACAAAAAAAGUGAAUCAUUCACCGUCUUUCGCUUAUUUACUAUUCCUUUCUAUAUCCCAUAUAUAAUUCUAAUAACUAUAUAAAAAUUUCAACCAAUCACAUAUAAUCUUAUUAACAACCUAUAAUCUUAUUAACAAUCUGAAAAUUCUAAUAACCUAUCCAUACAACCGUAACAAUCAAAUAAAAACUCUAAUAAUCCACGUAUAAUUGUUAACCAUUUUAAUGAAUGCGGUGAACGAUUCACCGUCUCUAAAAUAUCUAGGACACUUUCAGAAUGCCGUGAACGAUUCAUCGCGUUUCGGAGAUAAAUCCUACGUAGCUCCUAUACGGCGAAGAGAGAAUUAGUUUGCUAAAUAUAAAUUUAGUAGGGUUAUUUUAUAAAUUAUAAAACUUUAGAGGGUUAUUUUGUAAAAAAAU
RNAcentral lists this long non-coding RNA (1374 nucleotides) under Ananas comosus (pineapple). RNAcentral's name for it is "long non-coding RNA (ACOM_LNC025734)". Lineage: Eukaryota; Viridiplantae; Streptophyta; Magnoliopsida; Poales; Bromeliaceae. The record is from RNAcentral.